AUUGAACGCUGGCGGAAUGCCUUACACAUGCAAGUCGAACGGCAGCACGGGAGCAAUCCUGGUGGCGAGUGGCGAACGGGUGAGUAAUACAUCGGAACGUGCCCAAUCGUGGGGGAUAACGUAGCGAAAGCUACGCUAAUACCGCAUACGAUCUACGGAUGAAAGCAGGGGAUCGCAAGACCUUGCGCGAAUGGAGCGGCCGAUGGCAGAUUAGGAGUUGGUGAGGUAAAGGCUCACCAAGCCUUCGAUCUGUAGCUGGUCUGAGAGGACGACCAGCCACACUGGGACUGAGACACGGCCCAGACUCCUACGGGAGGCAGCAGUGGGGGAAUUUUGGACAAUGGGCGCAAGCCUGAUCCAGCCA
RNAcentral lists this ribosomal RNA (364 nucleotides) under uncultured bacterium. Its description in RNAcentral is "bacterial SSU rRNA". It matches the Rfam family "Bacterial small subunit ribosomal RNA", at positions 30 to 394 of the family's 1533-position model. The record is from RNAcentral.